RNAcentral lists this transfer RNA (73 nucleotides) under Myotis davidii. It matches the Rfam family "tRNA". From Rfam's summary of the family: Transfer RNA (tRNA) molecules are approximately 80 nucleotides in length. The record is from Rfam by way of RNAcentral. Lineage: Eukaryota; Metazoa; Chordata; Mammalia; Chiroptera; Vespertilionidae.
GCCAGUGUGGCUCAGUGGGUAGAGCGUCGGCCUGCGGACCCAAGGGUCCCGGGUUCGAUUCCGGUCAAGGGCA